GGAUGCGAUCAUACCAGCACUAAAGCACCGGAUCCCAUCAAAACUCCAAAGUUAAGCGUGCUUGGGCGAGAGUAGUACUAGAAUGGGUGACCUCCUGGGAAGUCCUCGUGUUGCAUUCC
Molecule: ribosomal RNA, 119 nt
Filed under: Triticum aestivum (bread wheat)
Lineage: Eukaryota; Viridiplantae; Streptophyta; Magnoliopsida; Poales; Poaceae
Source: RNAcentral